This 372-nucleotide ribosomal RNA is filed under the name uncultured organism. Its description in RNAcentral is "bacterial SSU rRNA". It matches the Rfam family "Bacterial small subunit ribosomal RNA", at positions 526 to 896 of the family's 1533-position model. The record is from RNAcentral.
CAGAGACUGCAAGCGUUAUUCGGAUUCACUGGGCGUAAAGGGUGCGCAGGCGGUUGGGUGUGUCAGAUGUGAAAUCCCGAGGCUCAACCUCGGAACUGCGUCUGAAACUACUCAACUAGAGUACUGGAGAGGGUAACGGAAUUCACGGUGUAGCAGUGAAAUGCGUAGAUAUCGUGAGGAACACCAGAGGCGAAGGCGGUUACCUGGACAGUUACUGACGCUCAGGCACGAAAGCAUGGGGAGCAAAAGGGAUUAGAUACCCCUGUAGUCCAUGCCCUAAACGGUGCACACUAGGUCUUAGCGGAUUCGACCCCACUAGGGCCCAAGCUAACGCGUUAAGUGUGCCGCCUGAGGACUACGGUCGCAAGACUA